GUAAAAUACUUAGAAGACGUGGUUCGGAAUUCACGUUAAGCAUGUGGGCCCUACUGUUAGGUCAUUACAAUACCAUGUAAAAGUACCUUCACUAGCUAUAGCAGCAAAUGGUAGCCGAAUCUGUCAC
Bradysia coprophila is the source of this 127-nucleotide long non-coding RNA. NCBI's taxonomy places the organism in Eukaryota, Metazoa, Arthropoda, Insecta, Diptera, Sciaridae. The record is from RefSeq and is a predicted model, not a curated record.